This 468-nucleotide ribosomal RNA is filed under the name uncultured bacterium. RNAcentral describes it as "partial 16S ribosomal RNA". It matches the Rfam family "Bacterial small subunit ribosomal RNA", at positions 28 to 507 of the family's 1533-position model. The record is from RNAcentral.
GACGAACGCUGGCGGCGUGCUUAACACAUGCAAGUCGAACGGAAAGGCCCUGCUUGUGUGGGGUGCUCGAGUGGCGAACGGGUGAGUAACACGUGAGUAACCUGCCCUUCACUUUGGGAUAACUUCAGGAAACUGGGGCUAAUACCGGACAGGAGCCCCUGCUGCAUGGUGGGGGUUGGAAAGUUUCGGCGGUUGGGGAUGGACUCGCGGCUGAUCAGCUUGUUGGUGGGGUAGUGGCUUACCAAGGCAUUGACGGGUAGCCGGCCUGAGAGGGUGACCGGCCACAAUGGGACUGCGGUACGGACCAGACUCGUACGGGAGGCAGAAGUGGGGAGUAUUGCACAAUGGGCGGGAGCCUGAUGAAGCAGCGCCGCGUUCGGGAUGACGGCCUUCGGGUUGUGAACCGCUUUCGCCUGUGACGACGCGGGAGUGACGGUAAUGGGUAAAGAAGCACCGGCUAACUACGUG